AAUAACAAUGGACGGGAAGGGGAGAGUCGCAUUUUCAAACUUGAAAUCCAGUCGCUAUUUUGAGUUCGUGUCAGCUAAAGAAAAUAUUAAGGAGGAAAGAAGGUGACCUCUAGUAUGAGUGUACGAUGGGAAAUUCCCCUCAGUUUGUAGGAAAAUGGUGACGUAGGCUGCAUUUAUUUUCACAUUGUAAUUGUGCACCGAAUAGUCCGUUGAUGUAUACGCUUCUUCUUAAGGCCAUCUUAGUGCACUGGUAAAAAUACUUGUUACUUGUGAGGCAAAACUGCACUAGUUGACAACUGUACCAUCUGGCACGUCACUAGUAGUAGUAUCUGUGCACGUCAACAAGUGCAGAAGUCAAAUGAAGGCACGAGGCCUUUGCUGUACUUUCCAAGCAUGUGUGUUCUCUCGCACUUCUAUUAGUGGCCACAGACGGUUGAUCAGAAGGAGAUCCGGGCUGUGAAUGCACGGUUACGUAAGCGUCCCUCCGUAACCUGAACGUGCUGGGCCUGCUGCACCGGCCACGCCAGAAUGGCGUCACUCAGCCGCUCGUACAACAAGAGAAUCCAACACAUUUUCCACAGGAAAAAAAAAACUUUAUUAAUACACUUAUAUAAUGUAUAUCAACAUUUAUAGACAAAAUAUGUACAAACAGCAAACAUCUUUCACGUAGGUCCCAAAAUAUAAAAUCUCAAGUACCUCUCUCUAUUAGAAAACUAGUCAUCUGUUUAAACGUUUACAUUCACUUCUUUUCCCCUCGCCGCCACGUUCUGGGAUUCAAAUGAGUUACAGAGCAUAAACAUCUGAGAGUUCUCAGCUUUUCACAAGUAAAAAGGCAA
This is a long non-coding RNA of Hippocampus comes (tiger tail seahorse), 836 nucleotides long. RefSeq lists it as uncharacterized. NCBI's taxonomy places the organism in Eukaryota, Metazoa, Chordata, Actinopteri, Syngnathiformes, Syngnathidae. The record is from RefSeq and is a predicted model, not a curated record. The transcript is spliced from 2 exons.